AGAGUUUGAUCCUGGCUCAGAACGAACGCUGGCGGCGUGGCUAAGGCAUGCAAGUCGAACGAGAAAGCGUCCUUCGGGACGCCGGUAAAGUGGCGGAAGGGUGAGUAAUGCAUAGACAACCUACCCUCGAGAGGGGAAUACCCCAGCGAAAGCUGGACUAAUACCGCGUACGAUCCUGAUUUUAAAAGGUUGGGAUGAAAGAUGGGGAUCCUUCGGGACCUAUCGCUCGAGGUUGGGUCUAUGUCCUAUCAGCUUGUUGGUGAGGUAACGGCUCACCAAGGCGACGACGGGUACGGGGCCUGAGAGGGUGUUCCCGCACACUGGGACUGAGACACUGCCCAGACUCCUACGGGAGGCUGCAGUCGAGAAUCCUCGACAAUGGGCGCAAGCCUGAUCGGGCGACGCCGCGUGCAGGAUGAAGGCCCUCGGGUUGUAAACUGCCGUCACGGUGCAGGAAGGCCCCCACGACAACAUCAAGGGGGAUUGACCACACCGGGAGGAAGUCACGGCUAACUCUGUGCCAGCAGCCGCGGUAAGACAGAGGUGGCAAGCGUUGUUCGGAUUUACUGGGCAUAAAGGGCGCGUAGGUGGUUAGGUAGGUCAGUGGUGAAAGCCCUCGACCCAAUCGAGGAAUUGCCUCUGAAACCAUCUGACUAGAGUGCAAAAGGGGAGAGUGGAACUCGAGGUGGAGCGGUGAUAUGCGUAGAUAUCUCGGGGAACGCCGGUGGCGAAAGCGACUCUCUGGUUUGCUACUGACACUGAGGCGCGAAAGCCAGGGGAGCAAACGGGAUUAGAUACCCCGGUAGUCCUGGCCGUAAACGAUGAGCACUUGGUAGUGGGGGCUCCAAGGCCUUCUCUGCUGUAGCUAAUGUGUUAAGUGCUCCGCCUGGGGAGUACGGUCGCAAGGCUGAAACUCAAA
Molecule: ribosomal RNA, 919 nt
Filed under: uncultured Planctomycetota bacterium
Lineage: Bacteria; Pseudomonadati; Planctomycetota
Description: bacterial SSU rRNA
Rfam family: Bacterial small subunit ribosomal RNA
Source: RNAcentral